Long non-coding RNA from Carassius auratus (goldfish), 341 nucleotides. RefSeq lists it as uncharacterized. The record is from RefSeq and is a predicted model, not a curated record. Lineage: Eukaryota; Metazoa; Chordata; Actinopteri; Cypriniformes; Cyprinidae. The transcript has 3 exons.
UUAAUUCAAGUCUGUGAGUUGAUUAAAGUUAAUGUGAUUUGAGCAUGACUGCACAUGAGAGCUGGGUAAGCAAUCUAGGAAGCUAAUAUUAUUUUUCUUAAUUUAGCAUCCUGCACAUGGAGAGAAAAAGAGGAAAAGAAAAGAUCACCAACUUUUUCCAAGGAUCAUGCCAAAUGUAGACAUGCUAUUCGACCAGCUGCAGAAGAGGAACAUCGACCCGGUCUAUAUUAAAGCAGCUGUCCAGGGAUUCACAAACAACAUGCAAGCAAUCAGGGACUCAAUCCCCUUUCUUUGUGGGGACAGUGCAUCAUCUGACCAGCAGCACCAGCCCAAAAAGCAAC